Molecule: long non-coding RNA, 386 nt
Filed under: Elaeis guineensis (African oil palm)
Lineage: Eukaryota; Viridiplantae; Streptophyta; Magnoliopsida; Arecales; Arecaceae
Description: long non-coding RNA (EGUI_LNC061719)
Source: RNAcentral
UCAGGCCUAGGGGAAUAGAUUUAGGUUGAAUUGCCAGUGGAGGAAGAGCACCAUGAAUGUGCCUCCAUCCUUAAGCUCCGAUGGAAGGAGAAGCAAGCUAUAAAGGCAGAAAAAUGAUGGAAAUAUCGUCAGGAGGUGUGUGGAUCUCGGGCUCUAGGAGGAAGAUCGUCGAUCAUGGUGAGAGGGAGUGACCUAUGGAUUUGGCUCCAUCUAAUGCCAUUGCUGCUCUGUUACUUGUUGGAACCGCUACAUAGAAUCGAUCAGCAUCUAGAUCUAGUGAGCUAGGGUGUCGAGUGGCGAUAGAUCUAUUGCAGCCAGAGGUUGCACUACAACAGAUGCAUAAGCAGUACUGCUUUGAUUACGAUGGAUGGAUUGCUAGUGGGAGG